GCCGAGGUGGUGGAAUGGUAGACACGCUAGCUUCAGGUGCUAGUGGGCGCAAGCCCGUGAAGGUUCAAGUCCUUUUCUCGGUACCA
This 86-nucleotide transfer RNA is filed under the name Methylococcaceae bacterium. Its description in RNAcentral is "tRNA-Leu". It matches the Rfam family "tRNA". Rfam says of the family: Transfer RNA (tRNA) molecules are approximately 80 nucleotides in length. Their secondary structure includes four short double-helical elements and three loops (D, anti-codon, and T loops). Lineage: Bacteria; Pseudomonadati; Pseudomonadota; Gammaproteobacteria; Methylococcales; Methylococcaceae. The record is from RNAcentral. RNAcentral also lists the same sequence under 2 other names.